ACGUAAAAUCGCCCGGUUGGUGCUCGCGGCGUGGUUCACAUGCCGCAGUUCAACGGGAAGCAGGGAGGGACCCUUCGCCACGAAGCACGUCCCGAGCCUGCGCUGCCCCCGCAACGGUCAGCGGAUGAGUCGCAUGCCGGCUCCACUUUCAUGCACACGCCACUGGGCGCCUUGAACAAGCGCCUGGGAAGGCUUUGGAAGCUGUUCCGCCAGCCCGGAUACCGGCCAACAUGGUGGCCGUGCG
RNAcentral lists this non-coding RNA (244 nucleotides) under Alicycliphilus denitrificans. RNAcentral also lists the same sequence under 1 other name. Lineage: Bacteria; Pseudomonadati; Pseudomonadota; Betaproteobacteria; Burkholderiales; Comamonadaceae. The record is from RNAcentral.